GAUACAGCAGACGUCAAACUUACAUUUUUUUAAACCAGUUUGAUAUCUUCCCUUUUUCCGUCCAGAAAAUUCACACUUUCAAAUUACCCUAAAGCUGACAGGAGGUAAGUAAGUUAAGCUUCCCAGCAAUCUGUUUUCUCACCCAGAGAUGGCCUCUAUUUUCAAUCAGGAUAAAGUCUUGACUUGGAAGGACCAGUGAUUCGUAACACUGGUUUUGUGACAAAGGAAAUUUCCUGUGAGGAAAGCUCAUAUCUUCCUUAUAAGAUCAGUGCUUACUUUGAUUAAGACAUUAGCAUUAACUUGUGACACAGAAGGCACAAACCGUCCAUCACCACGGGUGGAACACAACGCCACCUGCUGGUCACCAUGCUUUUACAUCCCCUAUAAUUUCCAGGUGGUGUUAAAUUCCAGGGAGGGAUUCUUAGAAAAUCCUACACUGUCAGAGCCAAAAAAGGACUUUAGAAGUCUCCUGGAUGAGUCCCCUCCUUCGCUAGAUGAUUUCUGCUCUCAAGAUAACUCAGAGCGGCAGGGAAACAGACCAGCCUGUGGAAGGUGUGCUGCUUUAGAACUGAGAAGAAAACCAUUUGGUGCUUUAAUUUUGCCCAGAUGGGGGUCUGCUAGUCACAGAAAGGGAUCAGGUCAGGGGAGGGGGCAAGGGGCACCCUGAGUUCCUAACCCAUCACUUCCCAGGGGGUGGAAAGCUGUGCAGAAACAGCUUCCAGUCCCAGCUGGGCAUGUGUUGGCUCUUACACAAUAGAAUUUGAUUUUAUUUUACAUAAAGAACUAGGAGCUAAAACUUGUGAAGUAAAUAUGGGGUUUCUGGGACUAAAGACGAUGAAGAAAUUUCAAGUUAUCAGCAUAAAAGUAGCCCCAAAGUAAAGGCAGUAAUUGUCCCAAUGGCCUUUUCUCCUCACGUCCUCACAGAGAGGAGUAUAAGAGAAAGAAUUCAGCUUCUGGGAGCCGCAAACCUGAAAUCUUGCCUCAGCUCUGCCUUCGAGCCAGGCAACAACCCUGAGGGUCACACCCUUAAUGAUUCUGAAGCCCAGUUCCUUUUUUGUAAAUCCAUGAAUAAGCUCUACCAACUUGACAGGGUUAUUGUGAGUAUCAAGUUAGAUUGAGGGGCAAAGUUAUCUGAAAACUGUGAAGUGAGGUACACAGUUUAGAGGGCGGCCAUUUCAUUUCGGUGGGUCUAUCUGGGCAAGAAGGCAGAUGCUGUGGUCACAGAGAAAAGGGGACGUCCAGGCUGCGCAGCGCUGCCCACGCUGUGACGAAGACCAUUAACACCUGUGAGGGAGGCCCUGGGACACGCCUGCUUCUCCUUGUCCUGGCUGGAAGCUCCCGGUCCACACUGAAAAAGGCACAUUCCCCACCCCAAUGAAUUAUAAAUAUUCAACAAAAGUCCCUGAGAGUUCACUCAGGUAAGACUUCUUCACAAAUCCUUGAUCUUACCAUGAAUUCAGGCUUCUGGGAGUUUGAAACACCCACCAGAACAACACCCCACAUAUAUUUGGUGCUCAAAAAAAAAAAAAAAGUUUUAAUUCCACAAACUUUUACCAGACACCUAUGUGCUAGGCACAGGGGGCACGGCUGAGGACCACCUCUCUGCCUUAGUGCACCUGAAGACGACAGCACUGUCACUUCCCAGGAUGACAAUCAUGCAACGUCCUAACAAGGUUCAAAGGGUUCAAAACAAAACUCCCAUAUUCUGACAAACAUGCGUACACAAACGUGAGUGUGAGUGCUCGUGCAUUCUGACAACAUCCUAAAAAAAGUCCUAGAAAAGGUGGUUUCUUUUUGUUUGUUUGCUCUACCACCAAUAAAGGCUCCAUUUGGAUGCUCCGCCAUGUUUCAUUUCUGCCUGGCUGAGUCAUUUUUGCUCCCAAGCCUCCAGGAUCUUCUCUGGCACCAGAGAGCCAUCAGAAC
Molecule: long non-coding RNA, 1923 nt
Filed under: Equus asinus (donkey)
Lineage: Eukaryota; Metazoa; Chordata; Mammalia; Perissodactyla; Equidae
Description: lncRNA (ENSEASG00005032244.1)
Source: RNAcentral